Molecule: ribosomal RNA, 253 nt
Filed under: uncultured bacterium
Lineage: Bacteria
Description: partial 16S ribosomal RNA
Rfam family: Bacterial small subunit ribosomal RNA
Source: RNAcentral
UACGGAGGGGGCUAGCGUUGUUCGGAAUUACUGGGCGUAAAGCGCACGUAGGCGGCUUUGCAAGUCAGAGGUGAAAGCCCGGGGCUCAACCCCGGAAUUGCCUUUGAGACUGCAUCGCUAGAAUUGUGGAGAGGUAAGUGGAAUUCCGAGUGUAGAGGUGAAAUUCGUAGAUAUUCGGAAGAACACCAGUGGCGAAGGCGGCUGACUGGACAUGUAUUGACGCUGAGGUGCGAAAGCGUGGGGAGCAAACAGG